AGAGUUUGAUCAUGGCUCAGGACGAACGCUGGCGGCGUGCCUAACACAUGCAAGUCGAACGGAGAUAUUCGUAGCAAUAUGGAUAUCUUAGUGGCGGACGGGUGAGUAACGCGUGAGCAAUCUGCCCUUCGGAGGGGGACAACAGCUGGAAACGGCUGCUAAUACCGCAUAACGUAUAUUGAUGGCAUCAUCGGUAUACCAAAGAUUUAUCGCCGAAGGAUGAGCUCGCGUCUGAUUAGCUAGUUGGUAGGGUAAUGGCCUACCAAGGCUGCGAUCAGUAGCCGGACUGAGAGGUUGAACGGCCACAUUGGGACUGAGAUACGGCCCAGACUCCUACGGGAGGCAGCAGUGGGGAAUAUUGGGCAAUGGGGGAAACCCUGACCCAGCAACGCCGCGUGAAGGAAGAAGGCUUUCGGGUUGUAAACUUCUUUGACCAGGGACGAAACAAAUGACGGUACCUGGAAAACAAGCCACGGCUAACUACGUGCCAGCAGCCGCGGUAAUACGUAGGUGGCAGGCGUUGUCCGGAUUUACUGGGUGUAAAGGGCGCGUAGGCGGGAUUGCAAGUCAGAUGUGAAAUGCUGGGGCUUAACCCCAGAGCUGCAUUUGAAACUGUAGUUCUUGAGUAUCGGAGAGGCAGGCGGAAUUCCUAGUGUAGCGGUGAAAUGCGUAGAUAUUAGGAGGAACACCAGUGGCGAAGGCGGCCUGCUGGACGACAACUGACGCUGAUGCGCGAAAGCGUGGGGAGCAAACAGGAUUAGAUACCCUGGUAGUCCACGCUGUAAACGAUGAAUACUAGGUGUGGGGGGACUGACCCCCUCCGUGCCGGAGUUAACACAAUAAGUAUUCCACCUGGGAGUAACGGCCGCAAGGUUGAAACUCAAAUGAAUUGACGG
This 896-nucleotide ribosomal RNA is filed under the name uncultured bacterium. RNAcentral's name for it is "bacterial SSU rRNA". It matches the Rfam family "Bacterial small subunit ribosomal RNA", at positions 8 to 916 of the family's 1533-position model. The record is from RNAcentral.